ACCUCGAAACCAGCCUCUGCCUGGGCUGUUGGGCGCGAGGAGGGUUGCGGGAGGAGAGUUUUAAUCUCUCUUUGCCUGCGUGCGCGAUGACCCCCUCACCCCCCGCUAACGCCGCGUGGUGUGUUUUCUCCGUCUCGCUGCUUCGCCUGUGAUGUGGGCUAAUUAAAUAUUUUAUUGUUGUUCUUCAGGCACCGCAUCAGCCUGCUCAACCCUUUAAAUUUACAAUUUCCGAAUCCUGUGAUCGGAUUAAGGAAGAGUUUCAGUUUUUACAGGCUCAAUACCACAGUCUGAAGCUGGAAUGUGAGAAACUCGCCAGUGAGAAGACAGAGAUGCAGCGGCAUUAUGUCAUGUAUUAUGAAAUGUCCUAUGGGUUGAAUAUAGAAAUGCACAAGCAGGCAGAGAUUGUCAAGAGGCUGAAUGCUAUCUGUGCGCAAGUCAUUCCUUUCCUGUCCCAAGAGCACCAGCAACAAGUGGUGCAGGCUGUGGAACGGGCCAAGCAGGUGACCAUGGCAGAACUGAACGCCAUCAUUGGG
This 533-nucleotide small RNA is filed under the name Pongo abelii (Sumatran orangutan). Its description in RNAcentral is "retained intron". Lineage: Eukaryota; Metazoa; Chordata; Mammalia; Primates; Hominidae. The record is from RNAcentral.